Molecule: ribosomal RNA, 253 nt
Filed under: uncultured bacterium
Lineage: Bacteria
Description: partial 16S ribosomal RNA
Rfam family: Bacterial small subunit ribosomal RNA
Source: RNAcentral
UACGUAGGGUGCGAGCGUUAAUCGGAAUUACUGGGCGUAAAGUGUGCGCAGGCGGCGUCGCAAGUCGAGUGUGAAAGCCCCGGGCUUAACUUGGGAAUUGCGCUCGAAACUACGGUGCUGGAGUAUGGCAGAGGAAGGUGGAAUUCCACGUGUAGCGGUGAAAUGCGUAGAGAUGUGGAGGAACACCGAUGGCGAAGGCAGCCCCCUGGGCUAACACUGACGCUCAUGCACGAAAGCGUGGGGAGCAAACAGG